CUUCGAUGGUGGUUGGAGGUGCCUGUCCGUCUCUCCAGUGCAUCCCCAUUUUCUGACAAUCGCUAGGGUGAGGCCGACCCACAUGAUGCUAGAAAGGUUGUUGAUGUGGCCGUCAGAGUAAGCGUCGGCUGCGGCCAUUUUGUUGGCAGAUCCGAAAAGUUGUCGCAUGUGCCCAGGUCCCAACCCCCAGAUCAACUAGUCACAGGCAGAGAAAGACGGGUUUGGUAUCAUGGCAGAACGUACAGGGACAAACUUGCCUGAAGGAGCUGCAUCUCCCGAGGAAAUUUACAAGGACGGUUUUAUGGAGGGACAAAGAUUAACCCUAAACCGUAUAGAGGCUUGUAUCCCACAGGACCAAAUUGCCUUUUACAAAACUAGGAAGACUCCUAUGGGUUGGAUGAAUGCCCCAAGCAUAACUUAUAUAAUUUUUAGGGAACUUCAGAUCACUGUGCCAUGUAUCGUGAAUCCAUAUGCUGGACAAACCCAUCCUGUGGCAGUUGCCAAUGAGAUGGAGCCUUUCACACAAGCAAUUCCCUGUACAAGUGGGCUUCAGUACCAACCUAGUAGUAGUAGUAGUGACCUCUCUUCACCUGGCCCAUCUGCGAUUGCUACUACAACACCUCCAGGAGUUGUUGAACGAUUGUCAGACACAGUACGGAGAAAAAUUUUAGCUACUCCACCGGAAUUUUUCCAGGAAUCUCCGUGGAAGGCAUACUUUAAGUUUCCACAACUUAGCACCAAAGAAAAGCAAAAAGCUCCAACAAUACCAAAGGCAGCCAAUAGUGAAGACUACAUCAGAUACUUAGAGAUUAAAGAAAGGAAAAAAAGGCUUUCCGAAGAGAAAAAGGAGCAGCGUAAGAUGGAAAGGGAGGCAAAAAUGCUGGGGAAAAAAAGAGGAAGCAAAGGAAAAGGAAAGGGUAAAGGCAAGAGCACUGCCAAAAAACCAAGGCUAGAUGAAGAGGAUAAUAGUGAGAGUGAUUUCAGUGGUUUGUAGUGAGAGUGAACUGAAUAAAUGUGGAACCUGCAAAGGGAAGGAUGGGGCAAAUUCUCUUUGGGUGGGAUGCCAGACUUGUGAAAGGUGGUUCCACAAAAGAUGCGUUGGCAUCUCACUCAAGUUGACAAAACAGGAAAUAGAAAAACUAGAUUUUAUUUGCAGUCAUUGUAUGGAUUCGUAGAUUGUUUAAAAAUUGAGCAUAUCAAAUAUUUUUAUUUAGUAGUAUACAAUUUAUAUUUGUUUUUGAAUACAUGAUGUGAUAUAUUUA
This is an RNA transcript of Macrobrachium nipponense, 1262 nucleotides long. RefSeq lists it as uncharacterized. The record is from RefSeq and is a predicted model, not a curated record. Lineage: Eukaryota; Metazoa; Arthropoda; Malacostraca; Decapoda; Palaemonidae. The transcript has 4 exons.